GAAAUGCGAUAAGUAAUGUGAAUUGCAGAAUUCAGUGAAUCAUCGAAUCUUUGAACGCACCUUGCGCUCCUUGGUAUUCCUUGGAGCAUGCCUGUUUGAGUAUCAUGAGCAAAUCUCAAAGUCGAUCCUUUUGUUAAUUCAAUUGGUUUUGCUUUGGACUUGGAGGUCUUGCAGAUUUCACCAUCUGCUCCUCUUAAAUGCAUUAGCUGGAUCUCAGUAUUUAUGCUUGGUUCCACUCGGCGUGAUAAGUAUCACUCGCUGAGGACACUGGUAAAAAGGUGGCCAGGGUAAAUGCAGAUGAACCCGCUUCUAAUAGUCCAUUGAUUUGGACAAAAUAAUAAUAAUGAUCUGAUCUCAAAUCAGGUAGGGCUAACCCGCUGAACUUAAGCAUAUCAAUAAGCGGAAGGAAAAG
This 412-nucleotide ribosomal RNA is filed under the name uncultured Ceratobasidiaceae. RNAcentral's name for it is "eukaryotic LSU rRNA". The stretch from base 1 to 105 matches the Rfam family "5.8S ribosomal RNA", at positions 50 to 154 of the family's 154-position model. Lineage: Eukaryota; Fungi; Basidiomycota; Agaricomycetes; Cantharellales; Ceratobasidiaceae. The record is from RNAcentral.